Molecule: ribosomal RNA, 496 nt
Filed under: uncultured bacterium
Lineage: Bacteria
Description: partial 16S ribosomal RNA
Rfam family: Bacterial small subunit ribosomal RNA
Source: RNAcentral
AUGAACGCUGGCGGCGUGCCUAAUACAUGCAAGUCGAGCGAACGGACGAGAAGCUUGCUUCUCUGAUGUUAGCGGCGGACGGGUGAGUAACACGUGGAUAACCUACCUAUAAGACUGGGAUAACUUCGGGAAACCGGAGCUAAUACCGGAUAAUAUUUUGAACCGCAUGGUUCAAAAGUGAAAGACGGUCUUGCUGUCACUUAUAGAUGGAUCCGCGCUGCAUUAGCUAGUUGGUAAGGUAACGGCUUACCAAGGCAACGAUGCAUAGCCGACCUGAGAGGGUGAUCGGCCACACUGGAACUGAGACACGGUCCAGACUCCUACGGGAGGCAACAGUAGGGAAUCUUCCGCAAUGGGCGAAAGCCUGACGGAGCAACGCCGCGUGAGUGAUGAAGGUCUUCGGAUCGUAAAACUCUGUUAUUAGGGAAGAACAUAUGUGUAAGUAACUGUGCACAUCUUGACGGUACCUAAUCAGAAAGCCACGGCUAACUACGUG